RNAcentral lists this ribosomal RNA (468 nucleotides) under uncultured bacterium. RNAcentral describes it as "partial 16S ribosomal RNA". It matches the Rfam family "Bacterial small subunit ribosomal RNA", at positions 28 to 507 of the family's 1533-position model. The record is from RNAcentral.
GACGAACGCUGGCGGCGUGCUUAACACAUGCAAGUCGAACGGAAAGGCCCGGCUUUUGUGGGGUGCUCGAGUGGCGAACGGGUGAGUAACACGUGAGUAACCUGCCCUUGACUUUGGGAUAACUUCAGGAAACUGGGGCUAAUACCGGAUAGGAGCUCCUGCUGCAUGGGGGGGGUUGGAAAGUUUCGGCGGUGGGGGAUGGACUCGCGGCUUAUCAGCCUGUUGGUGGGGUAGUGGCGUACCAAGGCUUUGACGGGUAGCCGGCCUGAGAGGGUGACCGGCCACAUUGGGACUGAGAGAGGGACCAGACUCCUACGGGAGGCAACAGUGGGGAGUAUUGCACAAUGGGCGGAAGCCUGAUACAGAGACGCCGCGUGCGGAAUGACGGCCUUCGGGUUGUAAACCGCUUUCGCCUGUGACGAAGCGUGAGUGACGGUAAUGGGUAAAGAAGCACCGGCUAACUACGUG